AUCCAGUAGACGAAUCUCAAAUAGGACGAAACGUGUGUCAAACUGGAU
Molecule: non-coding RNA, 48 nt
Filed under: Schistosoma mansoni
Lineage: Eukaryota; Metazoa; Platyhelminthes; Trematoda; Strigeidida; Schistosomatidae
Source: RNAcentral